ACUCCUACGGGAGGCAGCAGUGGGGAAUAUUGCACAAUGGGCGCAAGCCUGAUGCAGCCAUGCCGCGUGUGUGAAGAAGGCCUUCGGGUUGUAAAGCACUUUCAGUCGUGAGGAAGGUAGUGUAGUUAAUAGCUGCAUUAUUUGACGUUAGCGACAGAAGAAGCAAUCCCGGCUAANUUCCGGCCAGCAGCCGCGGUAAUACGGAGGGUGCGAGCGUUAAUCGGAAUUACUGGGCGUAAAGCGCAUGCAGGUGGUUUGUUAAGUCAGAUGUGAAAGCCCGGGGCUCAACCUCGGAAUUGCAUUUGAAACUGGCAGACUAGAGUACUGUAGAGGGGGGUAGAAUUUCAGGUGUAGCGGUGAAAAUGCGUAGAGAUCUGAAGGAAUACCGGUGGCGAAGGCGGCCCCCUGGACAGAUACUGACACUCAGAUGCGAAAGCGUGGGGGAGCAAAACAGGAUUAGAUACCCUGGUAGCUACGAGU
This 480-nucleotide ribosomal RNA is filed under the name uncultured bacterium. Its description in RNAcentral is "bacterial SSU rRNA". It matches the Rfam family "Bacterial small subunit ribosomal RNA", at positions 335 to 802 of the family's 1533-position model. The record is from RNAcentral.